UGCUCUUAGUAACAUUGAUUAAGAGUAACUCCUGCCCAGUGAGUAAUUCAACGGCCGCGGUAUCCUAACCGUGCAAAGGUAGCAUAAUCACUUGCCCAUUAAUUGUGGGCUAGAAUGAAAGGAUAAACGAAAUAAAUACUGUCUCUAUAAGCCGCUUAAAAAUUACCCUCUAACCGAAGAGUGUUAGAUAGCGUCGAAGGACAAGAAGACCCUAUAGAGCUUAAUUUAAAUAAAUGUAAAAAAUUUACUAAAAUUCGGUUGGGGCGACCAGGGAAUUACUUAUCAUCCCUAAACAAAAGAUAAAUAUAUCAAAAUACUGACCCUUCUACAAGAUCACUAAAACAAGCUACCUUAGGGAUAACAGGCUAAUCUCACUAGAGAGUCCUUAUCAAUAGUGGGGAUUGGCACCUCGAUGUUGGCUUAGGGAAUCUCUAUGACGCAAAAGUCAUAUAAAGAUGGUUUGUUCAA
This 468-nucleotide ribosomal RNA is filed under the name Lumbricus terrestris (common earthworm). RNAcentral describes it as "partial 16S ribosomal RNA". It matches the Rfam family "Bacterial large subunit ribosomal RNA", at positions 1817 to 2584 of the family's 2925-position model. Lineage: Eukaryota; Metazoa; Annelida; Clitellata; Crassiclitellata; Lumbricidae. The record is from RNAcentral.